AGUUAGUAAAAGGCAGUAUUGCCACCAAUUGUUGGAUGAAGGACCAGCAGCGAAAGUGGACCAAGAAACCUUGACAGAAAUGGUGAAACCCAGUAUUGAUUAUGUGCGCCACAAAAAAUUCCGAUCUGGGAAUUACCCGUCAUCAUUAAGCAAUGAAACAGACCGGCUGGUGCACUGGUGCCACGGUGCCCCAGGGGUCAUCCACAUGCUCAUGCAGGCGUACAAGGUCUUUAAGGAGGAGAAGUACUUGAAAGAGGCCAUGGAGUGUAGCGAUGUGAUUUGGCAGCGAGGUUUGCUGCGGAAGGGCUACGGGAUAUGCCAUGGGACUGCUGGCAACGGCUACUCCUUCCUGUCCCUUUACCGUCUCACGCAAGAUAAGAAGUACCUCUACCGAGCUUGCAAGUUUGCAGAGUGGUGUCUAGAUUACGGAGCACACGGGUGCCGCAUUCCUGACAGACCCUAUUCGCUCUUUGAAGGCAUGGCUGGCGCUAUUCACUUUCUCUCCGAUGUCCUGGGACCAGAGACAUCACGGUUUCCAGCAUUUGAACUUGACUCUUCGAAGAGGGAUUAAAA
This 573-nucleotide small RNA is filed under the name Pongo abelii (Sumatran orangutan). RNAcentral's name for it is "processed transcript". Lineage: Eukaryota; Metazoa; Chordata; Mammalia; Primates; Hominidae. The record is from RNAcentral.